Molecule: ribosomal RNA, 963 nt
Filed under: Triticum aestivum (bread wheat)
Lineage: Eukaryota; Viridiplantae; Streptophyta; Magnoliopsida; Poales; Poaceae
Description: partial small subunit ribosomal RNA
Source: RNAcentral
AUGGGUCAAGGUCCAUCUCUGAGCCAUGAGAAUAGCUCGAUCGAAUAUGCUGCGGGAUCUAGGAAAGGAUCAAACUCAAAAGUUGAAAACGUUCAUUGCACUAUCCUUGAUUUAGAUGGCUCCAGCUCCACAUCAUUCUUCGGUGUUUAUGAUGGCCAUGGAGGAGCUGAUGUAGCAUUGUAUUGCGCUAACAACUUCCAUAGAGUGCUGGUAAACGAUGGAGAUUAUAAGGAUAAUUUGGAUGUGGCACUGAAGCGUGCGUUUACCAGAAUGGACGAGCAACUGGACCAAAAUGAUGACUGGAGGACAUUGGCGAACCCUCCUGGUGUCGGUGUCAAAUUGCUAUGUUUUCCCAGCACUGCCCCUCGUGUCCAGGGAACUCCAUACAUGGAAGGGAGCACAGCAUGCGUGGUUCUCAUUAGAGGAAACCAGAUCAUUCUUGGGAAUGUUGGCGACUCUUGUUGUGUACUCUCAAGGGAUGAUAGUCAGCAGGCAACUGAGUUAUCGACCAAGCACACGCCAGAAAAUCAGGAUGAAAGGAACAGAAUUAAAACUGCUGGAGGGCAACUACUCAACGUAGGUGGCGCUGAUCUUGUUAAUGGGAUACUUCCUUUGACAAGAGCUAUUGGUACCUUCCGUUUCAAGCCACCUUCUGCAGGACAUAUUGUGACAUGUAUUCCAGACAUGCACAUUGCGGACAUCACUCAUGAUACCGAGUAUCUUCUUAUAGCAAAUCGCGCAUUCUGGGAUACCACUCCUAUAUCAAGUGAGAUGGCUGUCAAGUAUUUGAGGCAGUAUUCUGGGAGCUAUAGUGUUGCUAGCAUGUGCGAUAAGCUUCUGAAUCUUUGCCGCAACCCGAUGGACAACUUGACGCUGAUACUGGUUUACUUCAAGCCGAGUGCCAGGCUCCCACGUCCGGCCCCGCCUGCUCCCACCAACUUGCCCGUGCCCGUGGUUGGCUAG